Molecule: ribosomal RNA, 307 nt
Filed under: Enterobacter sp. Tar-11
Lineage: Bacteria; Pseudomonadati; Pseudomonadota; Gammaproteobacteria; Enterobacterales; Enterobacteriaceae
Description: bacterial SSU rRNA
Rfam family: Bacterial small subunit ribosomal RNA
Source: RNAcentral
CWACCUGUBUCGAACGGACAGGAAGCAGCUUGCUGCUUCGCUGACGAGUGGCGGACGGGUGAGUAAUGUCUGGGAAACUGCCUGAUGGAGGGGGAUAACUACUGGAAACGGUAGCUAAUACCGCAUAACGUCGCAAGACCAAAGAGGGGGACCUUCGGGCCUCUUGCCAUCGGAUGUGCCCAGAUGGGAUUAGCUUAGUAGGUGGGGGUAACGGCUCACCUAGGCGACGAUCCCUAGCUGGUCUGAGAGGAUGACCCAGCCACACUGGGAACUGARAAACCGGUCCCAAACUCCUACCGGGAGGGCA